Molecule: ribosomal RNA, 2872 nt
Filed under: Salmonella enterica subsp. enterica serovar Weltevreden
Lineage: Bacteria; Pseudomonadati; Pseudomonadota; Gammaproteobacteria; Enterobacterales; Enterobacteriaceae
Description: bacterial LSU rRNA
Rfam family: Bacterial large subunit ribosomal RNA
Source: RNAcentral
UUAAGCGACUAAGCGUACACGGUGGAUGCCCUGGCAGUCAGAGGCGAUGAAGGGCGUGCUAAUCUGCGAUAAGCGCCGGUAAGGUGAUAUGAACCGUUAUAACCGGCGAUACCCGAAUGGGGAAACCCAGUGUGAUUCGUCACACUAUCAUUAACUGAAUCCAUAGGUUAAUGAGGCGAACCGGGGGAACUGAAACAUCUAAGUACCCCGAGGAAAAGAAAUCAACCGAGAUUCCCCCAGUAGCGGCGAGCGAACGGGGAGGAGCCCAGAGCCUGAAUCAGCAUGUGUGUUAGUGGAAGCGUCUGGAAAGGCGCGCGAUACAGGGUGACAGCCCCGUACACAAAAGCGCAUGUGCUGUGAGCUCGAUGAGUAGGGCGGGACACGUGGUAUCCUGUCUGAAUAUGGGGGGACCAUCCUCCAAGGCUAAAUACUCCUGACUGACCGAUAGUGAACCAGUACCGUGAGGGAAAGGCGAAAAGAACCCCGGCGAGGGGAGUGAAAAAGAACCUGAAACCGUGUACGUACAAGCAGUGGGAGCNGCUUUGGGGUGGGGUGACUGCGUACCUUUUGUAUAAUGGGUCAGCGACUUAUAUUCUGUAGCAAGGUUAACCGAAUAGGGGAGCCGGAGGGAAACCGAGUCUUAAUUGGGCGUUAAGUUGCAGGGUAUAGACCCGAAACCCGGUGAUCUAGCCAUGGGCAGGUUGAAGGUUGGGUAACACUAACUGGAGGACCGAACCGACUAAUGUUGAAAAAUUAGCGGAUGACCUGUGGCUGGGGGUGAAAGGCCAAUCAAACCGGGAGAUAGCUGGUUCUCCCCGAAAGCUAUUUAGGUAGCGCCUCGUGAAUUCAUCUCCGGGGGUAGAGCACUGUUUCGGCUAGGGGGCCAUCCCGGCUUACCAACCCGAUGCAAACUGCGAAUACCGGAGAAUGUUAUCACGGGAGACACACGGCGGGUGCUAACGUCCGUCGUGAAGAGGGAAACAACCCAGACCGCCAGCUAAGGUCCCAAAGUCAUGGUUAAGUGGGAAACGAUGUGGGAAGGCCCAGACAGCCAGGAUGUUGGCUUAGAAGCAGCCAUCAUUUAAAGAAAGCGUAAUAGCUCACUGGUCGAGUCGGCCUGCGCGGAAGAUGUAACGGGGCUAAACCAUGCACCGAAGCUGCGGCAGCGACGCUUAUGCGUUGUUGGGUAGGGGAGCGUUCUGUAAGCCUGUGAAGGUGGCCUGUGAGGGUUGCUGGAGGUAUCAGAAGUGCGAAUGCUGACAUAAGUAACGAUAAAGCGGGUGAAAAGCCCGCUCGCCGGAAGACCAAGGGUUCCUGUCCAACGUUAAUCGGGGCAGGGUGAGUCGACCCCUAAGGCGAGGCCGAAAGGCGUAGUCGAUGGGAAACGGGUUAAUAUUCCCGUACUUGGUGUUACUGCGAAGGGGGGACGGAGAAGGCUAUGUUGGCCGGGCGACGGUUGUCCCGGUUUAAGCGUGUAGGUGUGUGUUCCAGGUAAAUCCGGUUCACUUUAACACUGAGGCGUGAUGACGAGGCACUACGGUGCUGAAGCAACAAAUGCCCUGCUUCCAGGAAAAGCCUCUAAGCAUCAGGUAACAUCAAAUCGUACCCCAAACCGACACAGGUGGUCAGGUAGAGAAUACCAAGGCGCUUGAGAGAACUCGGGUGAAGGAACUAGGCAAAAUGGUGCCGUAACUUCGGGAGAAGGCACGCUGANUCAGUCGAAGAUACCAGCUGGCUGCAACUGUUUAUUAAAAACACAGCACUGUGCAAACACGAAAGUGGACGUAUACGGUGUGACGCCUGCCCGGUGCCGGAAGGUUAAUUGAUGGGGUCAGCGCAAGCGAAGCUCCUGAUCGAAGCCCCGGUAAACGGCGGCCGUAACUAUAACGGUCCUAAGGUAGCGAAAUUCCUUGUCGGGUAAGUUCCGACCUGCACGAAUGGCGUAAUGAUGGCCAGGCUGUCUCCACCCGAGACUCAGUGAAAUUGAACUCGCUGUGAAGAUGCAGUGUACCCGCGGCAAGACGGAAAGACCCCGUGAACCUUUACUAUAGCUUGACACUGAACAUUGAGCCUUGAUGUGUAGGAUAGGUGGGAGGCUUUGAAGCGUGGACGCCAGUCUGCGUGGAGCCGACCUUGAAAUACCACCCUUUAAUGUUUGAUGUUCUAACGUGGACCCGUAAUCCGGGUUGCGGACAGUGUCUGGUGGGUAGUUUGACUGGGGCGGUCUCCUCCUAAAGAGUAACGGAGGAGCACGAAGGUUGGCUAAUCCUGGUCGGACAUCAGGAGGUUAGUGCAAUGGCAUAAGCCAGCUUGACUGCGAGCGUGACGGCGCGAGCAGGUGCGAAAGCAGGUCAUAGUGAUCCGGUGGUUCUGAAUGGAAGGGCCAUCGCUCAACGGAUAAAAGGUACUCCGGGGAUAACAGGCUGAUACCGCCCAAGAGUUCAUAUCGACGGCGGUGUUUGGCACCUCGAUGUCGGCUCAUCACAUCCUGGGGCUGAAGUAGGUCCCAAGGGUAUGGCUGUUCGCCAUUUAAAGUGGUACGCGAGCUGGGUUUAGAACGUCGUGAGACAGUUCGGUCCCUAUCUGCCGUGGGCGCUGGAGAACUGAGGGGGGCUGCUCCUAGUACGAGAGGACCGGAGUGGACGCAUCACUGGUGUUCGGGUUGUCAUGCCAAUGGCACUGCCCGGUAGCUAAAUGCGGAAGAGAUAAGUGCUGAAAGCAUCUAAGCACGAAACUUGCCCCGAGAUGAGUUCUCCCUGAGACUUAGAGUCUCCUGAAGGAACGUUGAAGACGACGACGUUGAUAGGCCGGGUGUGUAAGCGCAGCGAUGCGUUGAGCUAACCGGUACUAAUGAACCGUGAGGCUUAACCUU